Long non-coding RNA from Eurytemora carolleeae, 463 nucleotides. RefSeq lists it as uncharacterized. The record is from RefSeq and is a predicted model, not a curated record. The transcript has 2 exons. NCBI's taxonomy places the organism in Eukaryota, Metazoa, Arthropoda, Copepoda, Calanoida, Temoridae.
AACCUGUGGUUGGUGUAAUCUGAAGAUAACUUGUUAAUCCUACAAAUAUUAAAUCUACAGAUUGCCCCCCCCCCCCUUUAGCUUUCUUACCAGCUGUAUCCGGUACAUGUGUAGUGACACAUUAACUGUACAGUACUCUUGUGUACAUUACUAUCUUAGUGUACGCAAGUAGUUUGAUCAGUAUGGAGCUAACCAUCACUGGAGAUGGGUUAAAUAUCCCAGAGAGACCCGUGUCGAGAGUCCAAAGUCCAGAGUCCCGAGUCCAGUGUCCAGAGUCCAGAUGACAGUAGUACAAAGAGUCUACACCAAGUCCCGAGUCCAGAGGCGUGAGUCCAGUGUCGAGUGUCUAGAGGCGAGAGUCCAGAGUCCGAUAUCCAGAGAUGAGAUUUGUAUCCAACCUCAAUUAAACCAAGAGAUAGUGCAGUAAAAAUUGAAACCAUUGAAAUACAUAUUCAAUAUUGUC